Molecule: ribosomal RNA, 474 nt
Filed under: uncultured organism
Description: partial 16S ribosomal RNA
Rfam family: Bacterial small subunit ribosomal RNA
Source: RNAcentral
CACUCCUGCGGGAGGCAGCAGUGGGGAAUUUUGGACAAUGGGCGAAAGCCUGAUCCAGCAAUGCCGCGUGAGUGAAGAAGGCCUUCGGGUUGUAAAGCUCUUUUGUCAGGGAAGAAACGGUGAAAGCUAAUAUCUUUUGCUAAUGACGGUACCUGAAGAAUAAGCACCGGCUAGCUACGUGCCAGCAGCCGCGGUAAUACGUAGGGUGCAAGCGUUAAUCGGAAUUACUGGGCGUAAAGCGUGUGCAGGCGGUUUUGUAAGUCUGAUGUGAAAUCCCCGGGCUCAACCUGGGAAUUGCAUUGGAGACUGCAAGGCUAGAAUCUGGCAGAGGGGGGUAGAAUUCCACGUGUAGCAGUGAAAUGCGUAGAUAUGUGGAGGAACACCGAUGGCGAAGGCAGCCCCCUGGGUCAAGAUUGACGCUCAUGCACGAAAGCGUGGGGAGCAAACAGGAUUAGAAACCCGUGUAGUCCCAUG